Long non-coding RNA from Nannospalax galili (Upper Galilee mountains blind mole rat), 1276 nucleotides. RefSeq lists it as uncharacterized. Lineage: Eukaryota; Metazoa; Chordata; Mammalia; Rodentia; Spalacidae. The record is from RefSeq and is a predicted model, not a curated record. The transcript is spliced from 6 exons.
AUGGUACAGAGGGUAGAAAUGCAUUCUCUAAUGUUGGGAUGUUGAGUGCCUAAGGAGACAGACUGACUGACUGACUUGUGUUUAGAAGAUUUACAACACAGAGAGCUGAAGAAAAUGAAAGGUCAGCUGUCUCCAAUCCAAGGUUGUCACUCACCAGGAGUGGGUAAUCCCAAGGACAGCAGGACCUGCUUCAUCACUUGCAUUUUGGAGUAAGAAACCCUUCAGACCACUGUAGGUAACUGCCACAGAAAGCAAAAGCAUGGACAAGGGGGAUCUUGAAAUACUCAAGAACAUGUCCCAUUGGCCAUCAGUCACACAUCCAAUGGCAUCACCGCACAUCAUAUAACCUCUGAAAUGUCCUCUGUAAGGGAGAAAUCGAGAAAGAGACCCAUCUCAGCCUACAGCAGAAAGUCACCUGCUUUUCCCUCUAAAGUCUAACAGAGGGGCUCCCAUAUACAGGUAUUCCACAGAGACUCAUCCUGCAAGGCCAACAAGCCUGUUUUCCCUGGCUCAUGGGUGCUGUGGGAUGCUGUGACUUGAUCCCAUUUCAGGAUGACAGCUGAAGUGACUACAGACCAAGAGGGUCCUGAGCUUUUAUGAGAACCUGAGAACCUCUGAUAUUCAGGAGGGACAGGCCCGGAGGCCAUGGACCUCUCUGGUCAGCUGUGUGAGCUCCCAAGACUGAUGUAAACACAGCUCUCCCCUGCAGUGCCCCCAGGAGAAUAACACCCAGAGCCUGUAAAGGACUGGGCCUUUACAGGACUGCUUUCUGCUCUGCUGCAUGCCACCCUCACUCGCAGGCAAAGUGAUUCUUUUCAUCUGUGAGAAAGAGAAAAUGAACAGGAAAGGCACUUAGCAUUGCUACAUGGCAGUUGUUCAAAAAUCUGCUUCCAAGGAGCUUGUUUGUGCAGUAUUGUUUGCCCUGAACUCCAUUGCAAAGACAAAUUAGAGGUCUGCAUCACUUCGAAAUGAGCUUCAGAAACAAAACUGGGUUGGAACAAAUUCUAGGAGAUGUGAUGCUCACAUUUUCAAUGAAAAGAAAUUCUGGAGCCAUGGACCAUUGUUGAGCAGGAGAGGGAAUCACUCUGCAUUUCUGUAAAGGUGGUUAACCCGCAGGCAGAAACAACUGCUCAGGACAUUUUUUGCAAAUUUACAUUUAUGUUUGUUGAUUCCAUAUUAAACUGAACAACCAGGCGCGUGGAAGGUAAAGCCCUCUUUUAAUUAACCCUCUUGGUGUGGGCCCAUGUGAUUAAAGAUGACGGAGCUGCUCCUGGGG